This is a long non-coding RNA of Gossypium arboreum, 2308 nucleotides long. RefSeq lists it as uncharacterized. The record is from RefSeq and is a predicted model, not a curated record. Lineage: Eukaryota; Viridiplantae; Streptophyta; Magnoliopsida; Malvales; Malvaceae. The transcript has 2 exons.
GAAUGCCGCUAAUUACUAAACCCUAAUUCCUUUACUCCCUAUUUAACCCACUCAACUCCUAUUCUCUUGCUCGGAUUUCCGCCUCCAAAGCUUUCCUUAUCAUCUAUCCCUGGUUUUCUGCUUCUCUUCUCCUUUCUAUACAAGUACAUUUUUAAUUUGCUGCGCCUAUUCAAUUGAUUCUUUGAUCAUCUCUAAAUAGCUCCUGCAAAUUUCCAUGUUAUGCUUUUAUUUUGGUUGCAUCUGUUUACCCUCUCCUUUUGUAGCAAAGAUAGGAAAAAAUGCCAAAGGAGAUAUAACGGAUGCAAACAAUAAAAGUGAAGAGUUGUUUGAAAUUUUCUAUGAUGAGAAGAAGCAGACGGGCGGUCUGAAUCUGAUGCCAUGUUGUAUGUCUGCAAUUAUCCACUUGUGGAUUUUCUCUGAGCUUUUCAUUAUUUCAAACUUUCUCUGAUUUCUAAUCAUAUUUUUUUUAGUUCAUGGUUUGAAACUGAAAUAAAAUACAAACUCUUUUUCAAUGCAAUGAUGAAGUUGCUUCAAUUAUGUCUGGACAUAUGAACUCAGCUUAUGAUUAGCUACGCAUCUUCUGAGCAUUACUGUAUAUUUGUCAAUAAACUGUAUAUUCAAAGGUAUGAAAUAUUGAGAGUAUACCCACCUGUAUCAAGAAAUUCAUACAAUAUUGUUAUCCACGGGUUUGAAAGGAAACGGCAGUUUGGGCAGGUGUUUCUCCUUAGAAACCAAAGAUCAAUACAUUGUGUAUGGAAUAUGUGACUACAAACGGGCAAAAUCCUACAUCGUUCCCCCACCUGAAAACCAUCCAGGCAGACGUUGCACAUCAUUGUCGUUGCUGAAGCAUGAUUUUCUUGAGAAUAAUAGAACCUAGGGAGUUGCUCUAUCUCUUCCAUCGACAAACCUGAUUCAUUGCCUUCUUUGCUGCUUUCUUCGUCAUUGGAGAGUAGGUAAAAUAUUACAAGAUAAAUCAUAAAAAGGAUCGUAAUUACCAGAAAGGGAGAUGGGAGAGAAGGAAGCAUUUCCAGGGAUGAAUAAGUUUUGGAGAGGAUUUAAAGCCUGAAAUUGGCAUGUAAAACGUUGAUUGGGUUUUUAUGCGUUAAGCUAAGUUUGACUCGAAAUUGAAUUAGAAUAAUCACGUUCCUUUGCCUUGAGAUUUACUUAAGAGUGAGAAGCUUAUGUAGUCUUUUCUAUGGAUUCUAAGGAACAAGCCAUCAGGUAAACAGCUUUGCCAGUCCUUUCAUGAUAUUGAAGCAAUUCCAGUAACUUAAGUGGCAUAUCUAAAAUAACAAGUGGAUAUAUGACAUUUGACUUAGAAUUAAAAAUGCUCUCAUAAUGCAAUUCUAGUGUCAUAUGGAAGAAAAGAAAGCGAGGAAGAAGAGCUCUGUUGGAGCACUAAGAAGUUGAAGGACAUGGGGACGAACUGAGCAAAAGGCUUGUCUCUUAUAAGGAUUUGUUUCUAGGUCUAGGAUAAUGUAGCAGCAGACUGAACAGUUUGCUUGAGAAAGAGAUUAAACAAAUGGUCAUGGAUUUGACAAAUGAUGAAUCUGCGACUGAAAAUGAAGCUAAGGAGGGUGAAAUCAAGAUUUGCCACUCUCACUCUAAAGAUGGGAAGGAAACUAUCAAAGGGAGAUGGUGAAACACUCUCAUUGAUAAGGUUUUCAACAACCGGAAAGGGGAGAUGAAACUCAUUGAUUUAGGGCAUUCUUUUUUCCUUACAGAAGUUGGAUAGAAUCAUUUGAAAAUGUAAUGUUAAUGGGAAUUUCUUCGUUAAUUCACCCUAUAAUCUUUUACAGAAGUUGGGUUCAAAAGAGAAUUCUACUUGAAAUCCACAAAGUAGCGUUUGGGUUAAUUUAUGGAAGCUUAAAUUCCGGCAUAAGCUUAUUAAGUCUUCCUAUGGAAAGUGUGCCAUAAGAGGAUCUCGGUCAAAGAGAUCCUUAGAUCUGACAAUGAUGGAGAAACUGAGGACCAUUGUCAAAGCCAUCUUGUUUGGGAGGACCAUUGUCGUUGAGAAUUCAUGCCUUUAGCUAUGAUUUGAUCUCGAAUUGAAUCUUUUAAUGGUUGCAAAGAGAUAAUUUAAAAUGUUCUUCUAUCAUUGAAGUCUGACUGACAAUAAGGAUAUGUUAUCCUUCCAAUGUAGGAAACAAAGAGCUAGUGAUUGCAGGUUACAUUGAAUUGAAGGAGGUUUGAAUGUCAUUUGGACUCUUUGGAAGAGCGAUUUUGGAAACCGAUUGUAUAAGUGAAUGUAUCUUUACAAUUGAACUUUCAUUUGGUGAAUAUAUGUUAAUUGAAAUUGCAUGGUAAA